This 819-nucleotide ribosomal RNA is filed under the name uncultured eukaryote. RNAcentral describes it as "SSU rRNA". It matches the Rfam family "Eukaryotic small subunit ribosomal RNA", at positions 629 to 1426 of the family's 1831-position model. The record is from RNAcentral.
CGGUGUUUAACUGGCGUGAUGUGGGACGUCCUACCGGUGGGCUUAGCCUCGCGAGGGGCGGCCCAACUAAUAUCCCGUCGCGGUGCUCUUUACUGAGUGUCGAGUCGGGCCGGUACUUUUACUUUGAACAAAUUAGAGUGCUUAAAGCAGGCUAUCCUCGCCUGAAUACUGCGUGCAUGGAAUAAUGGAAUAGGACCUCGGUUCUAUUUUGUUGGUUUUCGGAACCCCGAGGUAAUGAUUAAUAGGGACAGAUGGGGGCAUUCGUAUUGCGACGUUAGAGGUGAAAUUCUUGGAUCGUCGCAAGACGGACAGAAGCGAAAGCAUUUGCCAAAAAUGUUUUCAUUAAUCAAGAACGAAAGUUAGAGGUUCGAAGGCGAUCAGAUACCGCCCUAGUUCUAACCAUAAACGAUGCCAGCUAGCGAUCCGCCGAAGUUCCUCCGAUGACUCGGCGGGCAGCUUCCGGGAAACCAAAGCUUUUGGGUUCCGGGGGAAGUAUGGUUGCAAAGCUGAAACUUAAAGGAAUUGACGGAAGGGCACCACCAGGAGUGGAGCCUGCGGCUUAAUUUGACUCAACACGGGAAACCUCACCAGGCCCAGACACCGGAAGGAUUGACAGAUUGAUAGCUCUUUCUUGAUUCGGUGGGUGGUGGUGCAUGGCCGUUCUUAGUUGGUGGAGCGAUUUGUCUGGUUAAUUCCGAUAACGAACGAGACUCUAGCCUGCUAAAUAGGCGUACCUUAUGGUAUCGCGAAGGCCCCCGGCUUCGGCCGGUGGGUUUUUACUACCAACGUACAAACAAAUCUUCUUAGAGGGACAGGCGG